RNAcentral lists this long non-coding RNA (1083 nucleotides) under Heterocephalus glaber (naked mole-rat). RNAcentral describes it as "lncRNA (ENSHGLG00000035238.1)". The record is from RNAcentral. Lineage: Eukaryota; Metazoa; Chordata; Mammalia; Rodentia; Bathyergidae.
AGGACCUUGGUGCAGGACAUUUGCUUACCUUCCCAGGGCUGGUCCCUGGUCCUCACCACCCAGGAGAGCUGCCUGCUGCUGUCACUGCCUCAUCGGGUACACCUGGUCCUUCCCAGUGACCACCUCCAACCAGGCACUGCCUCCUACAGCACAUUCAUAUCUGAGCUCCUCCAUGGAUGCGUCCACUGCUGAGCAGAGCACCUCAUGGUCCAGUCACCUUCUGCACACAGAAGACUGGGGGCCAUCGUAGAUCUAAACCCUAACAAAUGGCAAAGGAGCCAGAGCAAGAGGGGUCUGUGAACAAACACAGCACCUACUGUGGGCCAGACCGCUGACCCCAAGUCCUACCACACUCUGGGAACUUGCCCAGGAUGGCCUAGGCUCUGUAUCAACUGUCCCCAACAGUAGAGCCCUCUAGAGAUGGAACGGGCUCCUUUACAGCACUGGACCUCCAGCUGGCACAAGUGGGAACAGAUUCACCAUCAGCCGGAGCAGGACCCCAAGACCUCCAAAGGCCAUUUCCAAAGCCAAGACCAGAGGAUGCUGGGACUUCCGGGUUUGAGCCCAAGCAGAAUGUCUGUCCCACAGAGCAGCAGGAGGGAGAAGGACUCAGCACCUUGUCCCUGCAGGUGGCUGCUCCUCAGCCACCCCCUUCAGGGAAGAGGAAAGACAGGUGCGCCGGCUCUUGGUAACCAAAGAACACGAGGCAGUGGCUGAGCACAGCAAAGUCAGCAGACAACUUUUGCGACCCCAGAAGACAUGGGCGCUCCCCCCACCAGUACGCCAGCAGCUGCAUGAGCAGCAGGCCAGCUGCACUUCCUGGAAUUGCUGAAUGCUGACACUGUCCACCCAGAGGAGCAACAGAGCCCGAGGGUUGAAAUCCUGCCCCAAGCCUCAAAAUAAAAAAUAGAAAGGGCUGGGGAUGUAGUUCAGUGGCAGAAUACCCCCAUGUUUGAUCCCCAGUACAGACAAUUCUUCUGUAACGACGGAGCUCCGUUCCUGCAACCAGGUCGCUAAAUGAAUUGGUAGCUAAAUGAAGCAUUGUAUUUAGCGCGUACAUCACAAUAUUCAGAACAAAGAAAU